GGGGAUAUGCUUCAGUGGUAGGGUGUCCUGACUUCAAUCCCUGGCACCAAAAAUAAAUAAAUAAAUAAAUAAAUAAAUAAAUAAAUAAAUAAAAUAAAAUAAAAAGUGCUGGGGAUAUAGCUCAAUGGAAGAGCGCCCCUGGGUUCAAUCCCCAGUAACACCA
RNAcentral lists this transfer RNA (163 nucleotides) under Marmota monax (woodchuck). RNAcentral's name for it is "tRNA.SeC". The stretch from base 111 to 163 matches the Rfam family "tRNA". The record is from RNAcentral. Lineage: Eukaryota; Metazoa; Chordata; Mammalia; Rodentia; Sciuridae.